AACGAACGCUGGCGGCAUGCCUAACACAUGCAAGUCGAACGAGACCUUCGGGUCUAGUGGCGCACGGGUGCGUAACGCGUGGGAACCUGCCCUUAGGUUCGGAAUAACUCCCCGAAAGGGGUGCUAAUACCGGAUAAUGUCUUCGGACCAACGAUUUUUCGCCUUUGGAUGGGCCCGCGUUGGAUUAGCUAGUUGGUAGGGUAAAAGCCUACCAAGGCGACGAUCCAUAGCUGGUCUGAGAGGAUGAUCAGCCACACUGGGACUGAGACACGGCCCAGACUCCUACGGGAGGCAGCAGUGGGGAAUAUUGGACAAUGGGCGAAAGCCUGAUACAGCAAUGCCGGGUGAGUGAUGAAGGCCGUAGGGUUGUAAAGCUCUUUUACCCGGGAUGAUAAUGACAGUACCGGGAGAAUAAGCACCGGCUAACUCCGUG
Molecule: ribosomal RNA, 433 nt
Filed under: uncultured bacterium
Lineage: Bacteria
Description: partial 16S ribosomal RNA
Rfam family: Bacterial small subunit ribosomal RNA
Source: RNAcentral